UUGAAUAUCAUAAAAGUGUUCUACAAACUAUUGAAUUUUAGGAGUACAGGUCAUAUUGGUUUUUGGUUAACAGGUUCAGUUCGGUAGUUUCAAAGACUUUUAUAAACAAAUUUGAAAUACAUACACCAUGAUUGGACAGAGGCAGUUCUUUUCAGUAUUGAGCCCUUAGCGGACCUAAACUAACAUGUUUGGUCUCACUUAAUAGGUUUCGGUUAACUCUGCUAAUUUGCUUAAUUGGAUAUCAUUUAACCAAAUAAUUGGUUAAUUGUUUGGUUUUUCAUUACAAGUAAGAACCUCUUUACGCUUGAUACUAAUAUAAGGUUGCUGCAUUAACAGAGUUUGCAAAUUUGAGGCAACUUGGUAAACUUAGUGCUAAUAUUAUGGUGGCUAAAUUUUUGUCGAGUUUCCUACACUUGCUCCACUAGAAGUUAAAAUUGAUAUGGUUUCUCAAUGACAUUAAGUUCUGUUUUUAUCAGUUAUGGGUUGUUGGUUAUUUGUGUUUACGAUGCAUCAUUGUGUAUUUUGCAGACAUGAAAUCGAACUUGCGGCAGCUGCAAACCACCCUCUUCCAGAUGACGAUGAUGGCGCUUAUGAAUACAGAAAAGAUUGUCAAUCACAUUUACAAUCGACUUCGAAGUUGGUGUUAAAUUUGGGUUGGGUGAGUCUUCAGUGAGCUGUGAGCUGGGAACUGUUGCUGCUAACUUGAAUGAAUUUCAAGCUGUUUCAGAAUAUUUUACUUAAUUACAUUAAUCAUGCUAACAAAUAAGUAAACGGGUCAACCCUAUCAGGGCCAACUUGAGCCUGUUUCAACAAGUUCAACUUGGCACCUCAUAAUUUGUGAUUCUUCGUUGUUGUAAACGAAAGAGAAGCUGCUCAAGAAGUGACAAUUACAAGCUCUUCUUGAUGGCAUGAAUAUCAAUGCACUUGGUCCUAGGCGCUCCAUGCGUGGUAGAAAACCCGUGUCAGGCAUUUUGAUGAUUAUGACCAAUCAAUCAACGAGGUUAUAAAUUUGUUUCUUUGGCAUUUUUUGUUCUAUUCUCUUAGAAGGAAGCAACCGUCAUUUGAAAAUUAGGGCUUAUGACAAGGCUGCAAUCGAGUGUAACUGAAGAGAAGCUAUGACCAACUUUGAGGCCCACACCUAUGAAGGAAGCAUACUUCCCGCAACUCAUCAUGGUAACUUUUAUCCACCAUGAUCAUUGUAUAUAUUAUUGAGCUAACCAUAUAUUUCAUUUAAGAGGUAGCCAUGACCUGGAGUUGUGGUCAUCUACUAAGGAUGUUAUUGGUUGUCAAGAGAAUCCUCAAAUGAAUAGAUUUUACAAUCAGUUUUUAGAAAAACGUAGGAUGAAAAUCACCCCAAAUGUUCUCAAAUGCUUAAAACUCCCAAAUCCUAGGCUUUAUUAGCAAAUCCAGAUGUUAUAUUAGGAAUACAGUUUUGUAAUGUAAUUUAAUCCAUUUAAAAUUCAAGAUAAUAAAACGAAAAACACAAAAAGUGUGAAAGGGUACGCCCAGCCUGGCCGAUUUAAAUGUUUACCAUUUUGACCUGCUCAUUUGUUACCCAGCUUGCUCAAUGCUACUGAAAACAUUUUAUGCUAAUAAGUAAUUUAUCAUUUUACUCGCAUCUAUAUUCUAUAUUAAACUUAUUAAUAAUUUUUUAGCAAUUAAUACCGUUUUGAAUGAUGUUGGUAUUUCGUCCGCAACUAAAUUCUUUAUGGUUAUAGCAAGUUAUACAUCUGCACCAUGGUGAUCACUUAUUCUGUAGGUGGAUGUUGAAAUGUGGUGAUAGACAUAGGUUAUAAGGUCAGAGAAUGUAGAGUUUGGUAGCAGCAUAUGAGGCGGAUGCACAAUUAGCAUAUUUAUCCAGUCUUGGUGCUGACCAAAUGUGGAAUUGCAGCAGUUAUACAAGAGGGCAAUGAUUCUCUUGCCUAUUGUUCCGGCGCGCUCGAGAAUUGCCUUUAAUUCGUUGGUCCGCUACCGUCAGCAUCCCGUCCGUCACACCGCGACACUGCCUUUAAUUCGUUGGUUGCAUUAUUUAAUAACGACUAAAGGAUUUUACGUUUCUGAAGGUAAACCUACUAAAAUAUUCAAUUAUAGGUGAACAGAUGAUAUCGAGGCAUAAAUUUUGGAAUGAUAUGGAAGUAAAUGUUGUUCCAUGUGUUAUUAUAUGGAAUGAAUACAAUUAUUUCUUUGGGAUUAUGGUAAAAAAAGUGGUUUGGCUCAA
Molecule: long non-coding RNA, 2218 nt
Organism: Helianthus annuus (common sunflower)
Lineage: Eukaryota; Viridiplantae; Streptophyta; Magnoliopsida; Asterales; Asteraceae
Exons: 3
Source: RefSeq, a predicted model, not a curated record